GACGAACGCUGGCGGCGUGCUUAACACAUGCCAGUCGAACGGAAAGGCCCUGCUUUUGUGGGGUUUUCGCGUGGCAAACGGGUGGGAAACCCGUGAGUAUCCUUCCUUUUCCUUUGGGAUACCUUCAGAAAACUGUGCCUAAUACCUACUAGCAGCUCCUGCUCCUUGUGGGGGUUUGGAAAUUUUGGGCGGUUGGGGAUGGACUCGCGGGUUAUCAGCUUGUUGGUGGGGUGGUGGCUUACCAAGGCUUUGAUGGGUAGCCGGCCUGAGAGGGUGAACGGCCACAUGGGGACUGAGAUACGGCCCAGACGCCUACGGGAGGCAGCAGUGGGGAAUAUUGCACAAUGGGCGGAAGCCUGAUGCAGCAACGCCGCGUGCGGGAUGACGGCCUUCGGGUUGUAAACCGCUUUCGCCUGUGACGAAGCGUGAGUGACGGUAAUGGGUAAAGAAGCACCGGCUAACUACGUG
This 468-nucleotide ribosomal RNA is filed under the name uncultured bacterium. RNAcentral's name for it is "partial 16S ribosomal RNA". It matches the Rfam family "Bacterial small subunit ribosomal RNA", at positions 28 to 507 of the family's 1533-position model. The record is from RNAcentral.